GAUGAACGCUAGCUACAGGCUUAACACAUGCAAGUCGAGGGGCAGCAUUAUCGAAGCUUGCUUUGAUAGAUGGCGACCGGCGCACGGGUGAGUAACGCGUAUCCAACCUUCCCCAUAGUCAGGAAUAGCCCGGCGAAAGUCGAAUUAAUGCCUGAUGUUUUCCACGGACGGCAUCCGAUGUGGAACAAAGAUUCAUCGCUAUGGGAUGGGGAUGCGUCUGAUUAGCUUGUUGGCGGGGUAACGGCCCACCAAGGCAACGAUCAGUAGGGGUUCUGAGAGGAAGGUCCCCCACAUUGGAACUGAGACACGGGUCCAAACUCCUACGGGAGGCAGCAGUGAGGAAUAUUGGUCAAUGGGCGGAAGCCUGAACCAGCCAAGUAGCGUGAGGGAUGACUGCCCUAUGGGUUGUAAACCUCUUUUAUAGGGGGAUAAAGUGUGUCACGUGUGGCAUAUUGCAGGUACCCUAUGAAUAAGGACCGGCUAA
This 484-nucleotide ribosomal RNA is filed under the name uncultured bacterium. RNAcentral describes it as "bacterial SSU rRNA". It matches the Rfam family "Bacterial small subunit ribosomal RNA", at positions 28 to 500 of the family's 1533-position model. The record is from RNAcentral.